GCCCGUACCCUAAACCGACUCAGGUGGUCAGGUAGAGUAUACCGAGGCGUUCGAGUGAAUCGUGGUUAAGGAACUCGGCAAAAUUCCUCCGUAACUUCGGGAUAAGGAGGACCCCGUGACUUGCGCUCACCUCGCGUGGGUGUGGGGUUGUGGGGUCGCAGAGAAUAGGGAGAAGCGACUGUUUAUCAAAAACACAGGUGCGUGCGAAGUCGUAAGACGAUGUAUACGCACUGACGCCUGCCCGGUGCUGGAAGGUUAAGAGGAAGGGUCAACGCGCCUUGGCGUGUGAAGCCUUGAAUUUAAGCCCCAGUAAACGGCGGUGGUAACUAUAACCAUCCUAAGGUAGCGAAAUUCCUUGUCGGGUAAGUUCCGACCUGCACGAAUGGCGUAACGACUUCUCCGCUGUCUCGACCGUGAACUCGGCGAAAUUGCAGUACGAGUAAAGAUGCUCGUUUCGCGCAGAAGGACGGAAAGACCCCGGGACCUUUACUAUAGCUUGGUAUUGGUGUUCGCUUGUGCUUGUGUAGGAUAGGUGGGAGACUAAGAAGCGGGGGCGCCAGCCUUCGUGGAGUCGUCGUUGAAAUACCAUUCUGGUUCAAGCGGUCAUCUAACCUUGGCCCGUAAUCCGGGUUGGGGACAGUGCCUGGUGGGUAGUUUAACUGGGGCGGUUGCCUCCUAAAAAGUAACGGAGGCGCUCAAAGGUUCCCUCAGCCUGGUUGGUAAUCAGGUGGCGAGUGCAAGUGUACAAGGGAGCUUGACUGUGAGACCGACGGGUCGAGCAGGUGCGAAAGCAGGAACUAGUGAUCCGGCCAUGGCACGUGGGUGCGUGGUCGCUCAACGGAUAAAAGGUACCCCGGGGAUAACAGGCUGAUCUUGCCCAAGAGUCCAUAUCGACGGCAUGGUUUGGCACCUCGAUGUCGGCUCGUCGCAUCCUGGGGCUGGAGUUGGUCCCAAGGGUUGGGCUGUUCGCCCAUUAAAGCGGUACGCGAGCUGGGUUCAGCUGUGCGCGCAGGAAACUUGAGAAGAGCCGUCCCUAGUACGAGAGGACCGGGAUGGACGAACCUCUGGUGUGCCAGUUGUACCGCCAGGUGCAUGGCUGGUUGGCUACGUUCGGAA
Molecule: ribosomal RNA, 1116 nt
Filed under: human metagenome
Description: bacterial LSU rRNA
Rfam family: Bacterial large subunit ribosomal RNA
Source: RNAcentral